GGCCGCGGGAAUUCGAUUAGAGUUUGAUCCUGGCUCAGAACAAACGCUGGCGGCGUGCCUAACACAUGCAAGUCGUACGAGAAAGUCGGCUUCGGCCGAUGAGUACAGUGGCGCACGGGUGAGUAACGCGUGGGUAAUCUGCCCCCCGGUCAGGAAUAACCCGCCGAAAGGCGGGCUAAUACCCGAUAACACUGACGCUCUGCGGAGUGUCUUUCAAAGAAGGCCUCUGUUUACAAGCUUUCGCCGGAGGAUGAGCCCGCGUACCAUUAGCUAGUUGGCAGGGUAAUGGCCUACCAAGGCAACGAUGGUUAGCUGGUCUGAGAGGAUGGCCAGCCACACUGGAACUGAGACACGGUCCAGACUCCUACGGGAGGCAGCAGUGGGGAAUCUUCCGCAAUGGGCGAAAGCCUGACGGAGCAACGCCGCGUGAGUGAUGAAGGCCUUUGGGUCGUAAAACUCUGUCUUCAGGGAAGAAACAAAUGACGGUACCUGAGGAGG
This 498-nucleotide ribosomal RNA is filed under the name uncultured Anaerovorax sp. RNAcentral's name for it is "partial 16S ribosomal RNA". It matches the Rfam family "Bacterial small subunit ribosomal RNA", at positions 1 to 487 of the family's 1533-position model. The record is from RNAcentral. Lineage: Bacteria; Bacillati; Bacillota; Clostridia; Peptostreptococcales; Anaerovoracaceae.